AGAAAACUUGGUCCUAAUUUCCUUUACUUUUUUAUCUGUAAUGCUACAUGCAAAGAACUUCUCUCUUACCCUACGGAAUUUUAAUAAAAACUCAAAACUAAUAAAACUAAUGAAUAAAGAAACAAGAAAUUCUUAAAACAUAAAACCCGUAACAGCAGUACUAAACAUUAAGCAAUUAGUAAAAACUAGACUUAAUACCAGAAAAAAAAUAUUGGUAAAAAUACGUGCCAGCCACCGCGGUUAUACGUAAAAUAUUAAAAGUAAAACAACCCCUUAGUGACAAUAACAUAUAGUGCUAUAAACUAAAACUCAACAGUUAAAUGUAAAAAUAUAAAGAAAACAAACAUAAAAGUAAACACUAAAAAAAACUCACGUAAGUUUUAAAACAAACCAGGAUUAGAGACCCUGCUAUGUUAAACUAUAAACAUAAAAAAGAACUACGAGCCAAAGCUUAAAACUUAAAGGACUUGACGGUUUUUUAGACCUUCCUAGAGGAGCUUGCCUCAUAAUCGACAACCCACGAAAAACCUUACCUUUUCUAGAAACCAGCCUGUAUAUCAUCAUCGCCAGCCUACCUUAAUAAAAGAAGUAAGCUCAAAGGAAACCCCAAAACGUUAGAUCAAGAUGCAGCCAAUGAAAAGCGAAGAAAGUGAGCUACAAUACUCAAAACGAAUAGCGAAAAAUUUUUUUAAAAAGAAAAAAGAAGAAGGAUUUAGCAGUAAGAAAACUUAAUAAAAAUACUCUGAAAACGCUCUGAAACACGCACACACCGCCCGUCACUCUCUUUAAACUUAAAAAGAGAAAAGUCGUAACAAGGUAAGAGUAGGGGAACCUGCUCUUGGAAGUUC
RNAcentral lists this non-coding RNA (848 nucleotides) under Poliometra prolixa. Lineage: Eukaryota; Metazoa; Echinodermata; Crinoidea; Comatulida; Antedonidae. The record is from RNAcentral.